RNAcentral lists this ribosomal RNA (239 nucleotides) under uncultured bacterium. RNAcentral's name for it is "partial 16S ribosomal RNA". It matches the Rfam family "Bacterial small subunit ribosomal RNA", at positions 15 to 236 of the family's 1533-position model. The record is from RNAcentral.
GAUCCUGGCUCGGGAUGAACGCUGGCGGCGUGCUUAACACAUGCAAGUCGAACGAAGGCACUUAAGAUUGAUUCUUCGGAUGAAGUCUUUGUGACUGAGUGGCGGACGGGUGAGUAACGCGUGGGUAACCUGCCUCAUACAGGGGGAUAACAGUUAGAAAUGACUGCUAAUACCGCAUAAGCGCACAGGGUCGCAUGACCUGGUGUGAAAAACUCCGGUGGUAUGAGAUGGACCCGCGU